AGCUACCCGUCUCUCUCCCUCUCGCUCAUUUUCAGCUUCAAAUUAAAAAAAAAAACCACGCAUGUUUCAGAUACAAAUGAAAGAGAUUUGUAAAGGAGAACAUGUGAAAUAGUUUUCUACAAUCAAACUUCAGAUCUAUGCAGAAAGUAAUAGAAAUUUGGUAUAAUCGGUAUAUUUUGAAGAAGGAUAUAACACUUUUUAUUGAAAUCGAGAUAACUCUUGGGGACCUUCAGAGAAGACACAAUUGUCACUGGCUGUUUUUUCUCUUUCUGCUCUGCGUUAUGUUUGAAUCAAUCUCAAGGUGGUAGCUACGUUUGAUUGGAGUCGGUGAUCAAGGAAAGGAGACAUCUUAUUCCAAAAACUUUUGCUCAAAACAAUCAAACACAACAAUAAAUAGCUGGCAAAAGUAAAUAUAUAUAUGCCAGUAAUUAUUGGUAUGGAUUUGUGAGCCAAAGUAAGAUGUUAUCAACACUCAAUAAGGACUAAUAUGGUUCAAACAACAAUAAAUGCAAACCUUGUGGUUAAGGAAAGUAGAUUUUGAUGCUAAUUCAACCUGAAGAACUAAUUCAAGAGAUAAGGAUUGUACAAAGAUGCUCCGCUGAUGUGGUAUAUCCCACACCCCCGCAUGCCUAUGCCAACUGGAGCGUAGGCAAUAUAAUAUGGGGGCUCAAUUAGGAAAUCAAGAAUAUGAUCUAAAAGAUCUUCAGCCAUGUUACUGCUGCAGAUUCCAUGUAUAGUCACAGGACGCGGAAUGGGCAUGGCGGCAUGUUAAAGUUCUGCGGAUUCUUUAUUUUGCAUGUGUAGAAAUCAAAUGUAGAAAUCAAAUCAAUCAAUUACACUGUUAAUGCUUCUGUUCAAGAUCUUUUUUCUA
Nicotiana tabacum (common tobacco) is the source of this 871-nucleotide non-coding RNA. NCBI's taxonomy places the organism in Eukaryota, Viridiplantae, Streptophyta, Magnoliopsida, Solanales, Solanaceae. The record is from RefSeq and is a predicted model, not a curated record.